AGAGUUUGAUCCUGGCUCAGAUUGAACGCUGGCGGCAUGCUUUACACAUGCAAGUCGAACGGUAACAGGGGAGCUUGCUCCCGCUGACGAGUGGCGAACGGGUGAGUAAUGCAUCGGAACGUGCCGAAUAGUGGGGGAUAACGCACCGAAAGGUGUGCUAAUACCGCAUACGCCCUGAGGGGGAAAGUGGGGGACCGCAAGGCCUCACGCUAAUCGAGCGGCCGAUGUCGGAUUAGCUAGUUGGUGGGGUAAAGGCUCACCAAGGCGACGAUCCGUAGCGGGUCUGAGAGGAUGAUCCGCCACACUGGGACUGAGACACGGCCCAGACUCCUACGGGAGGCAGCAGUGGGGAAUUUUGGACAAUGGGGGAAACCCUGAUCCAGCCAUGCCGCGUGUCUGAAGAAGGCCUUCGGGUUGUAAAGGACUUUUGUCCGGGAGGAAACCCUGAUCGUUAAUAGCGGUCGGGACUGACAGUACCGGAAGAAUAAGCACCGGCUAACUACGUGCCAGCAGCCGCGGUAAU
Molecule: ribosomal RNA, 523 nt
Filed under: uncultured bacterium
Lineage: Bacteria
Description: bacterial SSU rRNA
Rfam family: Bacterial small subunit ribosomal RNA
Source: RNAcentral